AUUGAACGCUGGCGGUAGUCCUAACACAUGCAAGUCGAGCGUAUGAAGUUAGCUUGCUUCUGGAUUCAGCGGCGGACUGGUGAGUAAUGUCUAGUAAUCUGCCUGGUAGUGGGGGAUAACGUCCGGAAACGUGCGCUAAUACCGCAUACGUCCUGCGGGAGCAUGUUGGGUAUCUUCGGACCUCACGCUAUCAGAUGAUCCUAGGUCGGAUUAGCUAGUUUGUGGGGUAAAGGCCUACCAAGGCGACGAUCCGUAACUGGUCUGAGAGGAUGAUCAGUCACACUGGAACUGAGACACGGUCCAGACUCCUACGGGAGGCAGCAGUGGGGAAUAUUGGACAAUGGGCGAAAGCCUGAUCCAGCCAUGCCGCGUGUGUGAAGAAGGUCUUCGGAUUGUAAAGAACUUUAAGUUGGGAGGAAGGGCAGUAAGUUAAUACCUUGCUGUUUUGACGUUACCAACAGAAUAAGCACAGGCUAACUUCGUG
Molecule: ribosomal RNA, 484 nt
Filed under: uncultured bacterium
Lineage: Bacteria
Description: partial 16S ribosomal RNA
Rfam family: Bacterial small subunit ribosomal RNA
Source: RNAcentral